UGGAAGACUGGUGAUAUGUUGUUUCUCCGAUUAGUUUCGUCAGAUCUGACACAAAUCAGAUUGGACACCGGACAACCUAUCACAAUCUUCCAUG
This 94-nucleotide microRNA precursor is filed under the name Fasciola hepatica (liver fluke). RNAcentral's name for it is "microRNA fhe-mir-7 precursor". Its record names the gene fhe-mir-7. Lineage: Eukaryota; Metazoa; Platyhelminthes; Trematoda; Plagiorchiida; Fasciolidae. The record is from miRBase by way of RNAcentral.